RNAcentral lists this ribosomal RNA (426 nucleotides) under uncultured Eubacteriales bacterium. RNAcentral's name for it is "bacterial SSU rRNA". It matches the Rfam family "Bacterial small subunit ribosomal RNA", at positions 476 to 901 of the family's 1533-position model. Lineage: Bacteria; Bacillati; Bacillota; Clostridia; Eubacteriales. The record is from RNAcentral.
UACCCACAGAGGAAGCCACGGCUAACUACGUGCCAGCAGCCGCGGUAAUACGUAGGUGGCAAGCGUUGUCCGGAAUUACUGGGUGUAAAGGGAGCGUAGGCGGGAGAUCAAGUUGGAUGUGUAAUACCGGGGCUUAACCCCGGAACUGCAUUCAAAACUGGUUUUCUUGAGUGAGGUAGAGGCAGGCGGAAUUCCUAGUGUAGCGGUGAAAUGCGUAGAUAUUAGGAGGAACACCAGUGGCGAAGGCGGCCUGCUGGGCCUUAACUGACGCUGAGGCUCGAAAGCGUGGGGAGCAAACAGGAUUAGAUACCCUGGUAGUCCACGCCGUAAACGAUGAUUACUAGGUGUAGGAGGUUUAACCCCUUCUGUGCCGGAGUUAACACAUUAAGUAAUCCACCUGGGGAGUACGGCCGCAAGGCUGAAACU